Molecule: long non-coding RNA, 4338 nt
Filed under: Bemisia tabaci
Lineage: Eukaryota; Metazoa; Arthropoda; Insecta; Hemiptera; Aleyrodidae
Description: lncRNA ENSASIAIIG003831
Source: RNAcentral
UUUCAUGAAAAAUGUCAGAAGAUGUUUACAAUGCCUCCGACAAAGUUAUUUUGUCCAAAUUUUCCUCGGACUCUGUCAAGACAGUAAGUGAUGCAAAAAUAUCUGCUGGAGCCUGUGGUGAUUUGAAGCAAAGUCAAAAAUUCACUCAGAUUAAAAAAAAAUUCAAAUUAAGGAAUGGAAACCAGAAAUUGCACAACAAGAAUUGCAAAUUUGGGCGAAAUCGGCGUAGAAACAUUCAGCAUUGCAGAAGCAAAGACAGGCGAUGUCUUCAAAUGUGUCCUCAUGUCAUCAAAGCCAAAGUUUGCAAAACAUCACCUUCACUUGGACCGAAGUCAGAUCUCAAAACAACUGCAAGUAUCAAUGCUGUUUGUAAGUCAGACGAAGGGAAUUGCUCUGUCAAAGUCAAUAGGGGAUGGAAACUGAAAAAUGUUUUUAAUAAGUUAAGAUGUCUAUCGCACAAAGUAAUCUUGGACACAAAUUUGAGUCAAAGUAAAGUCUCAAAUGAGUCGUCUGAUAAAAUAAGUAGUCUUGUGAGUAGUCAUGGUAGCUGUCGCUUAUGGAAAAGCCAAGAAAUGAGGGAAAGGUCAUCAAAAACGAUAAAUGUCACAAGCUGCUCUGACAGGACUAUCAUUCAGUCAUCGAAGUCAGUUGAACAUCGUCCCACUUCCUCAGCUUGUGCUGUUGCUCCUGAAACAAGCGAUGGCUCAAAGAAUGAUGUUCAAACUGCACACUUAAUUGAGUUCAUCCGAGAUUCAAAAUCAGUGAAAACCUUGACUCCCUUUAUCUCCAGCAAUAUUUCCGGAAAUUCCGGUAAUAGUAGACAAAUGAAGCGUAGAGACCAAAAUGAUUCUUCCUUGCAGUUGCUCCAGUUAAAUAAGUCUUGCUUUGAAUGUCUGAGUCAAGUGAAAUUGAAAACUUUAAAAUCAGCUCCAGCUUUAUUAAGAAACUUAUCUUUUAUCAAUCCAUCUGUGGUCAAAGCACCGUCAGAAAAAGAUGUGUGGAAAGUUUCAGUAGCUGUUGAUAAAGUAUGUCAAACAUCAUCACAGAUUUUACCGCUGGGAAAAGUAUCAACGAGCACCAGUUGCACUACCAACAUUUCUUAUCUGUUCAGCGACAAAGAAAUUCAGAAUGAGAUGUCCCCACUCCAUGCUUUGAAUGCUUCAGUGAAUAAAAUGUGUCAAACAGAAAGUGUUAGAAACCUAUCUAGAGCUAUAAACAAAGGCACUCAAGCAAACGAGGAAACCUGGAGGGAAACUUUGAGUGAUUUCAGUCAGCCGACAAAAAAACCAGCAGAAGCAUCCUUCAAAGAACAAGUGUCUGGGGAGGAGCAUGUUCCUGAACAGUAUGAAAGUUUUUCAUCGGAGGAAACAAUAUCUUGCGAAGGAAACUUAUCAGAUAUCAGAUGUUCGUCUUCUGCUUUUGAGCAUCAAAUCCUAGAUUAUUGUUGUUGCUCAAAAAAUUUGGACAGGAUAAGAAAGAAACUAGGUUGGCUUGAAAAUGAAAAACUGACUGAAAGAACAAAACAGAAGUGUAUAGCAGACAACGAAUGUGCAACAACUGAAAGUUGUAAACAUAAAAAGUGCAGUCAUAUUCUAGCAACCAGAGAAAAAUACACUUGCAGAAGACACCCUCCGAAGGCAUUGUACCCUCAGAACAGUAAAUCUGAGAAUGCGGUAGAAAAUCAUGAAAUUUGCACAUCUGUUGGAUAUAUUCAACAACCAUCAAUCUUGAAGUCCAGCUCUUCCUUUUUAAGAGAGGAUCCUCACAGAAACCAUGUUGACUGUCAUGCAUGUAACAUCCACAGAAACCAUGAACUAUGGGAAUCUAAGAAGUCUUGUUGUUACGAUUUUUCGUUGACUCGUGCCAACUUUUUGAAACUCUACCCGGAACCCUACAUCAAUCAUCUCUCGAACGCUGUAUCAAAUGUGCAAUUAAUAUUCCACAAAGAGGGCAAGAACCAGAAACAAUUGUAUGUCUGCCAAGAAUGCAAGAUGAAUGCUUCGUGGAAUCGACAUGCUCGUAAACACCGAUUGAGUCCAAAGUGGCGGAAAUCAAUCUCAACUUGCGAUUCUCAAACUCCUUCUUCAGCCUCUGAUGCCUAUUCUUCAUCUACUGAUGCUUGUAGCAAGGCGUUCACAAAUUCAAAGUCUUAUCACUGUAAUAAGAGCAAGCAGAUGCAGCAGAAGAAAGUUAAACGGCGUCGCAAACCCAGACAAGAAAAUUUCAGACUAAGUUACAAAGAUGUAGAAAACAACAUAUCACAGCUUGAGAUGAACCCAGAUCAGAGGACGUUGAACCAUGGGGAUGGUCAUGGCAGUAUGUUAGAUCCAUCUAAACAGUGUUCAAUGAACAGCCCCCAGCAUAAAACAACUGAUGCCUUUUUACCACCGCCACCCCCUCCACUUUAUGAGUAUCCUGCUUACAGCUGUAGGUACAAUGAAGGGGAAUACACAAAAACCUAUCCUCAUGGUCAGCGGUUCAGAGUAAAUUCACAAAAAAAAUCUCCGGAGGUCAUUGGAUCCAAAAUGAAUGAACCAAUCGGUCCACAGCAAAAGAAUACUCCUUGUAACAGAGUACAGGAAUCAUCUUCAUUAUUAAAUAAAUACCAAAUUACCAGGCAUUCAUCUCUCAAAGGCAUUGAAUCAUCUCAUUCAGAGACUUCUAAUGCUUUUGUCCAACCAAACAACCAAAAAUAUGUAACAGAAAAAGCAGGAGCAGGUUUUUCAAACUACAACAAAUCUUCCAAUCAUUUACUGAGGUACCCAGGAUUUGGCGAUUGCGUCUCAUCGCAACCAAUCACAUUCAGUCAGAAGAAGAAACAAGCCUCUGCAGAUACCAAAGUUCGAAAGAAAAUCAAAGACAAAUAUCGAAGAGAUGGAGCGUCAGUCCGAUGUUUGAUCCGAGAAGCUUUGAUAACGGAAAGAAACAACAAGUAUGGAAGGAAAAGUUUGACAGCAGAAAAAGAAGAGAAUUGUCCGUCAAGAAAUUUUUCAACAGCUGAGUCCUUUACAAGAAUGACAACUUUGCAUGGUAAAAAUCAAUCAGAUUUUUCAUCUGAAACACAUAAAAACAAUGUUAAAUCAUGCUCCUUCAAUAAAAAGCCAGCAAACGAACAUACCAUUCCUGGCGCAUUCCAAUCAUCUAAAAACACAUUCUGUCAGUUGUCAGAUACGUCGGUGAUAUCAGAAACUGCCAUGGAAGUAUCAGCCUGGGCCCACUUCAAUGACAAACAUCGUAAAAUUUUCAGAAGUGAGAGUAUGCAAUGGCCUAAUAUUUCAAACUCAGCGAAGAGGGAAGUUACCAAACGCUUCAGUGAAGAGUUCACAAGUCAGCGACCUGUUUUUGAGGAGAAACAUUCAAGCACUAGAAUAGAGAACGACACUCAAGAAAGCUUCCGAAAUGAGACUGUAAAAACGUUACCACCGUCUGGUCAUGAUUUGAGGACCAAUGAAGAUUUAUCUUCCUCUAAUGAGUCACUGUCCUUAUACUUCAGGUUAAUGGAUGUCAUAGCAAAAAAACGACAGCAGUUCAAAAAGGAAGAAAGGAGGAGGAUGAAAUUUCAGGAACCAAAACUUAUAAACAAAACUAUUGUAGCCGCAAAUAAAGACUGAAAUAAAAUGUAAUUAUUAUUCCUACACUUGGAAUUUUUAUUGCUCCUCCUUCAUCAACGUAUAUUAACGUAUAUAACCUGUACUUAGUUUCCUUCCUCUAUAAAUUGAAUGGCUGUGAGGACAAGGCUUAUAAGCAUAGUGUUUUGUAAUUAUUUUGGGAAAUACAUAUGUGUUCUUAAGUGUCAAAAUUACAUGGAGCCUUUUGGCGAAAUGAAAGUUCAAAAUCACAAUUUUAUGUUUAAAAAUUGGAUUUUGGUAGUGAUAUCUUCACAUAAUGUAUUUCAAGACUAGUUCUGGUUGAAAUCGCUAAUAUCUCAAUUUUUUCAUUAACUGCUUUCAUGCGCCUUGACUUCCGAGUCCUUCAACUGCAGUUUUUCUGUGCGCUAGUUUAUGUAAAUAAUUUAAACCCUUCUCAUAGUCGCAGGUAUUUUUGGCAAAAACGGAUUAGGAAUGUUAGCCUCCUUUUUCAAUAGAAAUAAUUCGUGGAAGUCUUUGCAAGUCAGCAACACAGGUGAUUUGGUGGAGAUUCAGAGAAAUAUUAAGCUACAAGUCAAGCAACUAUCCUGGGACUCGCCAAAAAAUUCAAAGUCCCUGUUGCCAGCAUUGCGAUUUCUUUCUGAUAUUGCAUAACGAACCUUAUAUAAUAUUAAUGCACAUGAAACUGGGAAAAGUAAAUUUCUAAAAAUUUAUGAGGUAAAACUGAAAAUUUUUACUUUUUUAAACUUUC